UAGUGAUAUGCUUGUCUCAAAGAUUAAGCCAUGCAUGUCUAAGUAUAAGUAUUGUACAGCGAAACUGCGAAUGGCUCAUUAAAACAGUUAUAGUUUAUUUGAUGGUCACUUACUACGUGGAUAACCGUGGUAAUUCUAGAGCUAAUACGUGCGUAAAGACCCGACUUUUUGGAAGGGGUGUAUUUAUUAUAUAAAGAACCAGGGUCUUCGGACCAGUGGUGAAUCAUAAUAACUGAUCGGAGCUUACCUUGCUGAGCUAAAUCAUUCAAGUUUCUGACCUAUCAGGUUUCAACGGUAGGGAAUUGGCCUACCGGGCCUAUGACGGGUAACGGGGAAUUAGGGUUCAAUUCCGGAAAGGGAGCCUGAGAGACGGCUACCACAUCUAAGGAAGGCAGCAGGCGCGCAAAUUACCCAAUCCUGACACAGGGAGGUAGGGACAAGAAAUAACAAUACAGGGCAUCCAUGUCUUGUAAUUGGAAUGAGUAGAAUCUAAAUCCCUCUACAAGUAUCAAUUGAAGGGCAAGUCUGGGGCCAGCAGCCGCGGUAAUUCCAGCUCCAAUAGCGAAUAUUUAAGUUGUUGCAGUUAAAAAGCUCGUAGUCGAAUUUCUGCCAGGCCUCGUAGGUCUGCCUUUUGGUAAGCACUUGCGAGGUCUGGCAUCUAU
This 662-nucleotide ribosomal RNA is filed under the name uncultured eukaryote. RNAcentral describes it as "bacterial SSU rRNA". It matches the Rfam family "Eukaryotic small subunit ribosomal RNA", at positions 21 to 697 of the family's 1831-position model. The record is from RNAcentral.